This 565-nucleotide ribosomal RNA is filed under the name Trichoderma cf. harzianum ROG-2010. RNAcentral's name for it is "eukaryotic LSU rRNA". The stretch from base 220 to 373 matches the Rfam family "5.8S ribosomal RNA". Lineage: Eukaryota; Fungi; Ascomycota; Sordariomycetes; Hypocreales; Hypocreaceae. The record is from RNAcentral.
AGCGGAGGGAUCAUUACCGAGUUUACAACUCCCAAACCCAAUGUGAACGUUACCAAACUGUUGCCUCGGCGGGAUCUCUGCCCCGGGUGCGUCGCAGCCCCGGACCAAGGCGCCCGCCGGAGGACCAACCAAAACUCUUAUUGUAUACCCCCUCGCGGGUUUUUUUUUAUAAUCUGAGCCUUCUCGGCGCCUCUCGUAGGCGUUUCGAAAAUGAAUCAAAACUUUCAACAACGGAUCUCUUGGUUCUGGCAUCGAUGAAGAACGCAGCGAAAUGCGAUAAGUAAUGUGAAUUGCAGAAUUCAGUGAAUCAUCGAAUCUUUGAACGCACAUUGCGCCCGCCAGUAUUCUGGCGGGCAUGCCUGUCCGAGCGUCAUUUCAACCCUCGAACCCCUCCGGGGGGUCGGCGUUGGGGAUCGGCCCUCCCUUAGCGGGUGGCCGUCUCCGAAAUACAGUGGCGGUCUCGCCGCAGCCUCUCCUGCGCAGUAGUUUGCACACUCGCAUCGGGAGCGCGGCGCGUCCACAGCCGUUAAACACCCAACUUCUGAAAUGUUGACCUCGGAUCAGG